Molecule: ribosomal RNA, 484 nt
Filed under: uncultured bacterium
Lineage: Bacteria
Description: partial 16S ribosomal RNA
Rfam family: Bacterial small subunit ribosomal RNA
Source: RNAcentral
AUUGAACGCUGGCGGCAGGCCUAACACAUGCAAGUCGAGCGGAUGAAGGGAGCUUGCUCCUGGAUUCAGCGGCGGACGGGUGAGUAAUGCCUAGGAAUCUGCCUGGUAGUGGGGGAUAACGUCCGGAAACGGGCGCUAAUACCGCAUACGUCCUGAGGGAGAAAGUGGGGGAGCUUCGGACCUCACGCUCUCAGAUGAGCCUAGGUCGGAUUAGCUAGUUGGUGGGGUAAAGGCCUACCAAGGCGACGAUCCGUAACUGGUCUGAGAGGAUGAUCAGUCACACUGGAACUGAGACACGGUCCAGACUCCUACGGGAGGCAGCAGUGGGGAAUAUUGGACAAUGGGCGAAAGCCUGAUCCAGCCAUGCCGCGUGUGUGAAGAAGGUCUUCGGAUUGUAAAGCACUUUAAGUUGGGAGGAAGGGCAGUAAGUUAAUACCUUGCUGUUUUGACGUUACCAACAGAAUAAGCACCGGCUAACUUCGUG